GACGAACGCUGGCGGCGUGCUUAACACAUGCAAGUCGAACGGAAAGGCCCUGCUUUUGUGGGGUGCUCGAGUGGCGAACGGGUGAGUAACACGUGAGUAACCUGCCCUUGACUUUGGGAUAACUUCAGGAAACUGGGGCUAAUACCGGAUAGGAGCUCCUGCUGCAUGGUGGGGGUUGGAAAGUUUCGGCGGUUGGGGAUGGACUCGCGGCUUAUCAGCUUGUUGGUGGGGUAGUGGCUUACCAAGGCUUUGACGGGUAGCCGGCCUGAGAGGGUGACCGGCCACAUUGGGACUGAGAUACGGCCCAGACUCCUACGGGAGGCAGCAGUGGGGAAUAUUGCACAAUGGGCGGAAGCCUGAUGCAGCAACGCCGCGUGCGGGAUGACGGCCUUCGGGUUGUAAACCGCUUUCGCCUGUGACGAAGCGUGAGUGACGGUAAUGGGUAAAGAAGCACCGGCUAACUACGUGCCAGCAGCCGCGGUGAUACGUAGGGUGCGAGCGUUGUCCGGAUUUAUUGGGCGUAAAGGGCUCGUAGGUGGUUGAUCGCGUCGGAAGUGUAAUCUUGGGGCUUAACCCUGAGCGUGCCUUCGAUACGGGUUGACUUGAGGAAGGUAGGGGAGAAUGGAAUUCCUGGUGGAGCGGUGGAAUGCGCAGAUAUCAGGAGGAACACCAGUGGCGAAGGCGGUUCUCUGGGCCUUUCCUGACGCUGAGGAGCGAAAGCGUGGGGAGCGAACAGGCUUAGAUACCCUGGUAGUCCACGCUGUAAACGGUGGGUACUAGGUGUGGGGUCCAUUCCACGGGUUCCGUGCCGUAGCUAACGCUUUAAGUACCCCGCCUGGGGAGUACGGCCGCAAGGCUAAAACUCAAAGGAAUUGACGGGGCCCCGCACAAGCGGCGGAGCAUGCGGAUUAAUUCGAUGCAACGCGUAGAACCUUACCUGGGUUUGACAUGGAUCGGGAGUGCUCAGAGAUGGGUGUGCCUCUUUUGGGGUCGGUUCACAGGUGGUGCAUGGCUGUCGUCAGCUCGUGUCGUGAGAUGUUGGGUUAAGUCCCGCAACGAGCGCAACCCUUGUUCACUGUUGCCAGCACGUUAUGGUGGGGACUCAGUGGAGACCGCCGGGGUCAACUCGGAGGAAGAUGGGGAUGACGUCAAGUCAUCAUGCCCCUUAUGUCCAGGGCUUCACGCAUGCUACAAUGGCUGGUACAGAGAGUGGCGAGCCUGUGAGGGUGAGCGAAUCUCGGAAAGCCGGUCUCAGUUCGGAUUGGGGUGUGCAACUCGACCUCAUGAAGUCGGAGUCGCUAGUAAUCGCAGAUCAGCAACGCUGCGGUGAAUACGUUCCCGGG
RNAcentral lists this ribosomal RNA (1343 nucleotides) under uncultured bacterium. RNAcentral's name for it is "16S ribosomal RNA". It matches the Rfam family "Bacterial small subunit ribosomal RNA", at positions 28 to 1378 of the family's 1533-position model. The record is from RNAcentral.